This 465-nucleotide ribosomal RNA is filed under the name uncultured bacterium. RNAcentral describes it as "partial 16S ribosomal RNA". It matches the Rfam family "Bacterial small subunit ribosomal RNA", at positions 28 to 507 of the family's 1533-position model. The record is from RNAcentral.
GACGAACGCUGGCGGCGUGCUUAACACAUGCCAGUCGAACGGAAAGGCCCCUUUGGGGGUACUCGAGUGGCGAACGGGUGAGUAACACGUGAGUAACCUGCCCUUGACUUCGGGAUAACUUCAGGAAACUGGGGCUAAUACCGGAUAGGAAUCCUUGCUGCAUGGUGGGGGUUGGAAAGCUUCGGCGGUUUUGGAUGGACUCGCGGCUUAUCAGCUUGUUGGUGGGGUAGUGGCUUACCAAGGCUUUGACGGGUAGCCGGCCUGAGAGGGCGACCGGCCACAUUGGGACUGAGAUACGGCCCAGACUCCUACGGGAGGCAGCAGUGGGGAAUAUUGCACAAUGGGCGGAAGCCUGAUGCAGCAACGCCGCGGGCGGGAGGACGGCCUUCGGGUUGUAAACCGCUUUCAGCAGGGGCGAAGCUUGUGGUGACGGUACCUGCAGAAGAAGCACCGGCUAACUACGUG